This 76-nucleotide transfer RNA is filed under the name Clostridium sp. RNAcentral describes it as "tRNA-Thr". It matches the Rfam family "tRNA". From Rfam's summary of the family: Transfer RNA (tRNA) molecules are approximately 80 nucleotides in length. Their secondary structure includes four short double-helical elements and three loops (D, anti-codon, and T loops). Further hydrogen bonds mediate the characteristic L-shaped molecular structure. tRNAs have two regions of fundamental functional importance: the anti-codon, which is responsible for specific mRNA codon recognition, and the 3' end, to which the tRNAs corresponding amino acid is attached (by aminoacyl-tRNA synthetases). tRNAs cope with the degeneracy of the genetic code in two manners: having more than one tRNA (with a specific anti-codon) for a particular amino acid; and 'wobble' base-pairing, i.e. permitting non-standard base-pairing at the 3rd anti-codon position. The record is from RNAcentral. Lineage: Bacteria; Bacillati; Bacillota; Clostridia; Eubacteriales; Clostridiaceae. RNAcentral also lists the same sequence under 13 other names.
GCCGAAAUAGCUCAAUUGGUAGAGCAACUGACUUGUAAUCAGUAGGUUACGGGUUCAAUUCCUGUUUUCGGCACCA